GCAUUUCCGUCUUUCAAUAAUACGAACUGAUAUGUUUACACGCCAACUUCUUAUUCAAAGUGGGCGGGUUAUCAGUCAUUUGAGGCGUUUUAGUAGUCAAAUUUCAACAGCCAUGGUUGUCAAAGUGAACGUAAUUUAUUGUGGUGGAUGAGGGUACGGGUCCAGGUAUCGGCGACUGCAAGCCGAACUUGAGGACGAGUUUGGCUCCGACAUUGAGAUGACUGGUGAAUCAACUCCAGGAAUCACUGGAUAUCUGGAGGUUGAGGUCAAUGGAAGUCUUGUUCAUUCCAAAAAGAAUGGAGAUGGCUAUGUUGAUAGUAAACAGAAACUGGACAAGAUCAUGGAUGCCAUCAAGGCAGCUCUUUGAUUCUUGACAACAUUCAGCAACACAGCUAAACAGCUCCGCGUUGGACAUUGUGGCUAUCCUUAUUAUGACAGAAACACCCCAAAAGUAGUUCCGGCUAUUCGGGUAUUUCUCGAGACUCUACAGGGAGACACCAGGCUGUCCAAGAUGGAAGGAUUUGACUGUGUCAAUUAUUAUUUUCUUUGAUGUGGUAUUGUGCAGUGUAGACUAGAAUUGAUAUGGUGUAAUUGGUUAACAUGGUAAAAGGGAGUUAUUUUAAGGAAAAAAGGAAUCUUAUUCAACAUUGGGUUACUUGUAAAGAUAAAGGCCCCAUAAAAGAGGAUUGUUAAUUUUCCAUACCCUUUCAUGCAAGUCACUGAUUUUUUUUCUCUAUUUUCAUUAUUUACAACCACAGUAAGUUACUGCACAGGAUGGAAAUACUUAAAAGCAAAAAGCACAAGAACCUGACUUGGGUGUCAUUAAAGUACAGUUGUUUGAACUUGGUGACAUUCAUGAUACCAUAUUCAUUUAUGUUUCAUAUGCCUCAGACUCUUUUGAGAAAUAUAUAAUUGAUGUAGAAUGGUACCUGUCCCUUAACUUUAGGGGAAUAAAGAAAAUAUUUAAAAAAUGGUUUUAUGGGGUCUUCAUGUUAGUUAUGACUAUAUUCCUUACCAAGCAAUGAUGAUGUAUAAGAAUAAAACUAAAAAUAAUGUGAAAAUAGACUAUGCAUCAAGGCUGAAAAUAUUCACACAUUUUUUUUAUACAACUGUUUUUGGAAUGUGAUUUGAAUUUCAGAUUAAACGUUAUAAUUGUACCUCUCAAACCCUCCUUUGGUUAGCUAAUCUGAGGUGGGACUGGCCUGGCAUCAAGGGCUUGCUUUAUGAUUAUGUCAGAGGCAUUCAAUAUAAAUCCACAUAUUUCAUUAUUAUUAUUAUUACUUAUUAUUUGUACUGCACUUUUCCCAUUAGGCCCAAAGCUAUUCAUGCUAUUUUCAUAUUAUGUGUACAUUACAUGCAAUGCAUGAAUCAUUGUUUUUAUUGCAAAUGAAAUAUUUUUAAAACACAACAUUUAUAUGAACUUUAAUAGAUAAGUUGAUUAACAUUCACAGAACUCCUACCAGAUUCAUGUAUCCCAAUGAAUACCAACUGUAUUUAGCAUGGGCUGAAGCAACUCUUGAAGAUUUCAGUUCAAACACACCAAAGUACAGGGUUUAUUUUUAGCACAUUCAAAUACUUCAUAUUUCAAACCAAAGAUAUAUCCACUAUGAAAUCUGUCAAUUUAUCUUGAAAGGUAGCCUAAGCUUGUCAAAAUAUUCAAAUUAAUUUACAUGAGCAAUUAUCAUUUUAUAAUGUGUAUUAUAUUAGCAGAUUCAUUUCCAAUCUUGAUCUUGAUUCUUUUUCAGAACCAUAUAACAUGUCAUGGUGUUGGGAUUUGUGAGAUGAAGUGCCUAUUUUCACCUUUGUUUUGUUCUCUUGAAGCCGAUUAAAAUGCUUUUGUCUUUCUCAUCA
Lytechinus variegatus (green sea urchin) is the source of this 1851-nucleotide long non-coding RNA. RefSeq lists it as uncharacterized. The record is from RefSeq and is a predicted model, not a curated record. NCBI's taxonomy places the organism in Eukaryota, Metazoa, Echinodermata, Echinoidea, Temnopleuroida, Toxopneustidae. The transcript is spliced from 6 exons.